GCGCGCUCAGGGCAUGUUACACCCGGAGGAGGGACGCGCGGGCGGGGCGCGCGCCGCGUCAGCCACCACAGUCACUGCCGGGGCGGCCCGGGCCACUCGGGGCCUGGCAUGGACGCCAGGACUUUCCGCCCAGCCGCCCCGGAACUUCCCGGCCCCGGCAGGGCACUCGGGCUCCCGCACCUCUGCCGGGAAGCGGUCUCGCUCGGCCGCCGCUCCCCGCCCCUCCUCGGCCCGCCUGACCGCACCCAGGGCCUGGCGGUCGGAGCUGGGAACAGCAGAGACGCUGCUGCCUGAGGCUGGCGGAAGCGGAGGUGAUGUCUUGAGUGGGAAGGCAAUGAGUUUUGUUUUCAGACAUACUGGGUUGCAGGCAAGGGGAGAAGAGCAGAGAGGGCGCUGAGGGGAACUGGGAAUGCGGGGCAGCGUGUAGGGGGAGGGCAGGGCCGGUGGGUGGAGGGGAGGGGGCUGUCUCCCCGGGGGACAGCGAGGGGCGCUGUGCAGCCAGCAGCCUCCCACAGCUCAGGCCACUCCGGGCUCUUCCUUCCGUGGGCUUUUGUGUAGACCACAGAGGUGUUUUGUGGGGAAAAGGGAAAUCUCACAACAACAACAUUAAAGUUUCCGAUUCUAGAUUUGAAUGAGGAGCUGACAGUUAAGUUGUGCCCCACCCCCCACCCCUGGAGUAAUAAGGAGAAGGACCAUGAAGAGUUGAAUGGACAGUGCAGGGAGGACUGCAGUCGCAUCACAGCAGGGGUGGGGCGGGCAAGAGCCCGAGGGCCUUGAGCUGGUUCAUUUCAACUGCCUGGGGCAGAAGGCAUCUCCAGCCAUCCAAGAACAGUGGACCACCUGCUCAGGGGUGGCAGGCAGUGUGCUCCAGGUGGAGAGGUGAGGAAGCUGUGAGCCUGCUCUCUAGAGUGUCACGGGUGGCAUAAGCACGGAGGCCCCAAGACGCCCAUGCCGGCAGGAGGGGCUGGGCACAGAGGGACUCCUGGACACGUGAGGGAAUAAGGGCCGGUCAGCUCAGACAGGAGGAAGGGGACGAGGCCAGCUGUAAGACAGGCGACAGCUUAGAGUGGUGGGGAAAGAGUAGCGACAGAAGGGGUGAGGCGGUGGUCCCCGCGUCACGCAAGAGUCACUCUGUGGCCAGAGUGGUUGUGAAAAUGCUUAUCAGCCGGUACUGCCAGGGUAGUGGCCCGAUCAGGACCAGGGCUGCUCCCUCUUGGACCCCACGUAGAUGGUGCAUGGCACAGUAUCAACUAAGCUUUUAGUUCCGUUUUUCAGGAACUUUCUGAAGCACCUCUGUUUUACUCACCACAUGCCAUCCCGGCUGCAGUGAGUGGCUGGGGAUACAGCGGAGUCAGAUCUGCACUCAGGAGCCUGAUAAAGAACAGGUGCUCCAAGUGAAGAAUCCCCUGCACCUGCUCUUGUGGCCAAUCGGCUCUCUUCCGGCCUUCCCAAGGCACGUGCCAGCCCUCCGUGCUUUCACACAAAGAUCACGGCCUGUGGUUCUCCAUGUUUCCAAGUGCCCCUCACUUCCGUAGGAAAUCAGGCAACGGCAUCCGUCUUAGGGCAGAUUCAAUCUCCACCCAGUGGACCUGAGCCUGACCCAGACCAGCAACUCAGAGAACACUGCCAGCUGUGGACCCAUGGCAUCAGAAUUGCUAUUCGGCUGUCAUGCAUUUUUUUUAAAAGGUACUAACUCAAGAAUUGUUUUCUCCUGUGAAAGUUUCAAAUACUGUAUAUGUAUGAUGGAGGUCAUCGGCCCUUAAAGAAAAAAAUAAAUUCUAUCAUUAUAUCUUAAAAGAAAUUAUU
Molecule: long non-coding RNA, 1806 nt
Filed under: Oryctolagus cuniculus (rabbit)
Lineage: Eukaryota; Metazoa; Chordata; Mammalia; Lagomorpha; Leporidae
Description: lncRNA (ENSOCUG00000032333.1)
Source: RNAcentral